RNAcentral lists this ribosomal RNA (450 nucleotides) under uncultured Glomeromycotina. Its description in RNAcentral is "SSU rRNA". It matches the Rfam family "Eukaryotic small subunit ribosomal RNA", at positions 569 to 1026 of the family's 1831-position model. The record is from RNAcentral. Lineage: Eukaryota; Fungi; Glomeromycota.
AGCAGCCGCGGUAAUUCCAGCUCCAAUAGCGUAUAUUAAAGUUGUUGCAGUUAAAAAGCUCGUAGUUGAAUUUCGGGAUCAAUAUGUCGGUCGUGCCUCGGUACGCACUGGCUUAUUGGUUUCUCCCUUCUGACGAACCGUGAUGUCAUUAAUUUGGUGUCUUGGGAAAUCAGGACUGUUACUUUGAAAAAUUAGAGUGUUUAAAGCAGGCUCACGCUUGAAUACAUUAGCAUGGAAUAAUGAAAUAGGACGUUUGAUUCUAUUUUGUUGGUUUCUAGGAUCGAUGUAAUGAUUAAUAGGGAUAGUUGGGGGCAUUAGUAUUCAAUUGUCAGAGGUGAAAUUCUUGGAUUUAUUGAAGACUAACUACUGCGAAAGCAUUUGCCAAGGAUGUUUUCAUUAAUCAAGAACGAAAGUUAGGGGAUCGAAGACGAUCAGAUACCGUCGUAGUCU